Molecule: small nuclear RNA, 158 nt
Organism: Choloepus didactylus (southern two-toed sloth)
Lineage: Eukaryota; Metazoa; Chordata; Mammalia; Pilosa; Megalonychidae
Product: U1 spliceosomal RNA
Exons: 1
Source: RefSeq, a predicted model, not a curated record
AUACUUCCUUGGCAGGGGAGACACUGUGAUCACAAAGGUGGUUUUCCCAGGGCAAGGCUUAGCCAUUGUGCUCUGGAUGUGCCGACCCCUGCGAUUUCCCCAAAUGUGGGAAACUCGACUCCUUCAGUAGUGAAGGACUGCAUUCAUGCACUCCCUGA